GACGAACGCUGGCGGCGUGCCUAACACAUGCAAGUCGAACGGAACUGUUUUGAAAGAUUUCUUCGGAAUGAAUUUGAUUUAGUUUAGUGGCGGACGGGUGAGUAACGCGUGAGUGACCUGCCUUCAAGAGGGGGAUAACAUUCUGAAAAGAAUGCUAAUACCGCAUGACAUAUCGGAACCACAUGGUUCUGAUAUCAAAGAUUUUAUCGCUUGAAGAUGGACUCGCGUCCGAUUAGUUAGUUGGUGAGGUAACGGCUCACCAAGACCGCGAUCGGUAGCCGGACUGAGAGGUUGAACGGCCACAUUGGGACUGAGACACGGCCCAGACUCCUACGGGAGGCAGCAGUGGGGGAUAUUGCGCAAUGGGGGCAACCCUGACGCAGCAACGCCGCGUGAAGGAUGAAGGUUUUCGGAUUGUAAACUUCUUUUAUUAAGGACGAAAAAUGACGGUACUUAAUGAAUAAGCUCCGGCUAACUACGUGCCAGCCGCCGCGGAAA
Molecule: ribosomal RNA, 498 nt
Filed under: uncultured Oscillospiraceae bacterium
Lineage: Bacteria; Bacillati; Bacillota; Clostridia; Eubacteriales; Oscillospiraceae
Description: bacterial SSU rRNA
Rfam family: Bacterial small subunit ribosomal RNA
Source: RNAcentral